AUGAGCAACUUUUUCCUCAUAGGCAUUAUUCAGUCCUCAAAAAUAAAAAUUUCCUUUAUGAUUGCUUAAAAAAUAUUAAUAUCUAAACACUACAGAUGGGGUGGAUUUUGUUACUUUUGUUAUUAACACCUGCUCACUGCUGGCUACUAGAUUGAUUAAUUGAUUUUGGCAUUAAAUGCCACUUUCAGCACUCUUGGCUAUAUUGUGGCUGCCAGUUCUUAUUGAUGGAGGAAGCCGGAGUGCCUGGAGAAAACCACAGACCAUUGGCAGGAAAUCUUGCAAUCCUAGACAAUUAAGAUUUGAGUUUAACGCACCUGCCAUGGGCAUGGUAUGAACUCACAACUUCUUAGACCACUUGUCCACCAGGGGCCCCUCCCCUACUUGAAGUUACUGAUUUUUUUAUUGUUUAUCUUUAUGUUGUAUUGUUACACAACUGACCCAGGGUUGAGCACUCACAAACACCCAAGACACGAGCCUGUAGUUCAGUGGUUGUCCUUGGUUUCUGUCUACCACAUAUGUUUUUUGUUUUAAUUUUUUUAACUGUAAUCAGGCAAUUGUUUCACAUUUUGUUAUCCAGGUCUUAGAUAGCUUAUUAUAUGGUGGGGAUGUUGCUAAUUCUUGAAGGCCUGGUCUUAGAUAGCUUAUUAUAUGGUGGGGAUGUUACUAAUUCUUGAAGGCCUGGUCUUAGAUAGCUUAUUAUAUGGUGGGGAUGUUGGUAAUUCUUGAAGGCCUGGUCUUAGAUAGCUUAUUAUAUGGUGGGGAUGUUACUAAUUCUUGAAGGCCUGGUCUUAGAUAGCUUAUUAUAUGGUGGGGAUGUUGCUAAUUCUUGAAGGCCUGGUCUUAGAUAGCUUAUUAUAUGGUGGGGAUGUUGCUAAUUCUUGAAGGCCUGGUCUUAGGAUAGCUUAUUAUAUGGUGGGGAUGUUGCUAAUUCUUGAAGGCAUGGUCUUAGAUAGCUUAUUUUAUGAUGGGGAUGUUGCUAAUUCUUGAAGGCCUGGUCUUAGAUAGCUUAUUAUAUGGUGGGGAUGUUGGUAAUUCUUGAAUGCCUGGUCUUUGAUAGCCUAUUAUAUGGUGGGGAUGUUGCUAAUUCUUGAAGGCCUGGUCUUAGAUAGCUUAUUAUAUGGUGGGGAUAUUACUAAUUCUUGAAGGCAUGGUCUUAGAUAGCUUAUUAUAUGGUGGGGCUGUUGGUAAUUCUUGAAGGCCUGGUCUUAGAUAGCUUAUUAUAUGGUGGGGAUGUUGCUAAUUCUUGAAGGCAUGGUCUAAAAUAGCUAAUUUUAUGAUGGGGAUGUUGCUAAUUCUUGAAGGCCUGGUCUUAGAUAGCUUAUUAUAUGGUGGGGAUGUUGCUAAUUCUUGAAGUCAUGGUCUUAGAUAGCUUAUUAUAUGGUGGGGAUGUUACUAAUUCUUGAAAGUCUUAGAUAGCUUAUUAUAUGGUGGGGAUGUUGCUAAUUCUUGAAGGCAUGGUCUUAGAUAGCUUGUUAUAUAGUGAGGAUGUUGCUAAUUCUUGAAGGCAUGGUCUUAGAUAGCUUGUUAUAUGAUGGGGAUGUUGCUAAUUCUUGAAGGUCUUAGAUAGCUUAUUAUAUGGUGGGGAUGUUGCUAAUUCUUGAAGGCAUGGUCUUAGAUAGCUUAUUAUAUGGUGGGGAUGUUGCUAAUUCUUGAAGGCAUGGUCUUAGAUAGCUUAUUAUAUGGUGGGGAUGUUGCUAAUUCUUGAAGGUCUUAGAUAGCUUAUUAUAUGGUGGGGAUGUUGCUAAUUCUUGAAGGCAUGGUCUUAGAUAGCUUAUUAUAUGAUGGGGAUGUUGCUAAUUCUUGAAGGCAUGGUCUUAGAUAGCUUAUUAUAUGGUUGGGAUGUUGCUAAUUCUUGAAGGCAUGGUCUUAGAUGGCUUAUUAUAUGAGGGGGAUGUUGCUUAUUCUUGAAGGUCUUAGAUAGUUUAUUAUAUGAUGGGGAUGUUGCUAAUUCUUAACGGUCUUAGAUAGUUUAUUAUAUGAGGGGGAUGUUGCUAAUUCUUGAAGGUCUUAGAUAGCUAAUUAUAUGAUGGGGAUGUUGCUAAUUCUUGAAGGUCUUAGAUAGCUUAUUAUAUGGUGGGGAUGUUGCUAAUUCUUGACGGCCUUAGAUAGCUUAUUAUAUGGUGGGGAUGUUGGUAAUUCUUGAAGGCCUGGUCUUAGAUAGUUUAUUAUAUGAUGAGGAUGUUACUAAUUCUUGAAGGCAUGGUCUUAGAUAGCUUAUUAUAUGGUGGGGAUGUUGCUUAUUCUUGACGGCCUUAGAUAGCUUAUUAUAUGGUGGGGAUGUUGGUAAUUCUUGAAGGCCUUAAAAAGCUUAUUAUAUGGUGGGGAUGUUACUAAUUCUUGAAGGUCUUAGAUAGUUUAUUAUAUGGUGGGGAUGUUACUAAUUCUUGACAGCCUUAGAUAGCUUAUUAUAUGGUGGGGAUGUUACUAAUUCUUGAAGGUCUUAGAUAGCUUAUUAUAUGGUGGGGAUGUUACUAAUUCUUGACAGCCUUAGAUAGCUUAUUAUAUGAUGGGGAUGUUGCUUAUUCUUGACGGCCUUAGAUAGCUUAUUAUAUGGUGGGGAUGUUGCCAAUUCUUGAAGGCAUGGUCUUAGAUAGUUUAUUAUAUGAUGGGGAUGUUACUAAUUCUUGAAGGUCUUAGAUAGCUUAUUAUAUGGUGGGGAUGUUGCUAAUUCUUGACGGCCUUAGAUAGCUUAUUAUAUGGUGGGGA
Mytilus californianus (California mussel) is the source of this 2706-nucleotide long non-coding RNA. RefSeq lists it as uncharacterized. The record is from RefSeq and is a predicted model, not a curated record. The transcript is spliced from 3 exons. Lineage: Eukaryota; Metazoa; Mollusca; Bivalvia; Mytilida; Mytilidae.